This 30-nucleotide ribosomal RNA is filed under the name Erica umbellata. Its description in RNAcentral is "partial 28S ribosomal RNA". The record is from RNAcentral. Lineage: Eukaryota; Viridiplantae; Streptophyta; Magnoliopsida; Ericales; Ericaceae.
AACUGCGACCCCAGGUCAGGCGGGAUUACC